Molecule: long non-coding RNA, 1036 nt
Filed under: Daphnia pulicaria
Lineage: Eukaryota; Metazoa; Arthropoda; Branchiopoda; Diplostraca; Daphniidae
Description: uncharacterized LOC124319799, transcript variant X2
Source: RNAcentral
AUCCUCAGGAAAAAAGCUUGAAGGGACAAUGUCCGAAUCGCUUGGGGCAGCUCCGUCAACUGGCCUUCCGGUCAUGCCUUUGGCCCAUACGGCCCGAUUGCGAUCCGCCACCGUUGUGGAACUGGAAAUCCAGCGGCUGGUCCAGCUGACACCGAGCUGCGUUGCCCACUUACCCGAGGUCCUCUACCGUGUCACGACGGACAGCAUCAUAUCAAAUAUGAUUGAUCCAGUGAAAGCCCUGGCAUCCUUUUUUCCGCCAGCAUCCGCUUCACCCCCAACACGGCUCAAUUGGACGACGACCUCUACGACACGCUGGAGAGUCUGAUUGAAUUCAUCGAUCACGGUCGUUUCCGGCGUUCUUCCGUUACCGAAUGGUGGCCACUUCGUCCAGCUGCGGAGUUAUCCAGUGCGUUUCCAACCCGAAAUCCUGCGACUAGCUCGGCCGCUAAACAGAUGUCAGCAACUUCAACGACUAUUUCAUCAACAAAUACGGUGACGAGGUUACAUGAGUUCCAGACAGUCAGGCGCAAUAUAACACGCUCCACGGCUGCCUACUCUCUGGUCGGUUUCUUCCUACAGAUCAAGGAUCGCCACUAUGGCAACACAUGAUCGAAGGCUAUAAGGGCAUCACAUUAUUCACAUCGAUUUUGGCAUCAUGUUUGAAGUUCCCCCGGUGGCAAUUUAGGAUUCGAUGUAUCGCGAGGUCCAUCAUUGUGUCUCUUGUCUGGUUGAUGCCCGACACCCGACAGCCCCGCUUACGGGAGGAGACCCUCAUGUUCCUGUAGUCCCGUUUCUUGCACAUGGACGACCGCGAAGCCGCCAACCAGCAAACCACAAUCAACAUUGUCCGCUCGUUGUUACUCAACAUCCUUACCAGAACCUAAACGUCAGGAAAUUAUAUGAUUUGAAGGACUCAUUUGCUUUACUUGUAAAUUGAUAGAGCAUAUAGGUUUUUUUUUAAUGUAAUGUGUUUCACUAUUCCCUGUUGUACGUCGUUUGUUGAGUCUGAUUUGAUAAGUCAAUAGAAACAAGCCUU